Actinia tenebrosa (Australian red waratah sea anemone) is the source of this 1654-nucleotide long non-coding RNA. RefSeq lists it as uncharacterized. The record is from RefSeq and is a predicted model, not a curated record. Lineage: Eukaryota; Metazoa; Cnidaria; Anthozoa; Actiniaria; Actiniidae.
GUCAUCUUAACGAAUUAAUCACCAACCCACAACCGCCACGGCCGAGAGCACGCUGGGGACGAGGUUGGGAAAUGGAAAUCACACAGUACAACAAUGGCGGCGGAAAACGAUGCAAGACUCAAUAUAUAAUAGUGCUUUGAUGUUUCUCUUCCUCCACAAAAAUCCUGAAAAAUCAUCGUUUUACAAUGUGAAGUCCAGUUCAGUCGAAACUACUGUUGAAGGAAGUACAAUAUAUCUACAAUCUAUAUAUCUACGCCUAAUAGAUUUAGAGAACAACUUGAAUUUUAUCUUUGGUAAUUUUACGACCCCUAGUACUUCUAUCUUUCGGGAUGUUCGAUGAAAUAUGGCUGAAUUCAUAACAAACACGGGAUUGUGCAACAUGAUGUGCAUGUAGACCAUCUAAGGGCUAUUAAAGAGAAGUACAAUGGGCAGUCCAGCUCGCAGAGAAAAGUAAAAGUUGCAAGCCUUACAAAGUAGAUUGGGAAAGCUAAAGUAGACUGGAAAAGCUAAAGUUUACGUUUUGGAUUGAAAAGUUCUAAGCCUGGACCUUAAUAUGGAAUUAACAUGUAGCACUAAGUACAAUUAAUAAAACAGAGAGUCUCCACACUUAUCAUGAUACUGACUGUAUAGAACUAUGACUUCUCUUGCACGUGCAACAUGGUUGUUGACAGAUUGGUUGUUAUUGUCUUUCUUCUACUGUUAGAUGUGGGUACCUGUUGGAAAAACAAGGGACUCAACAAAGGACUGCAUGUGCCAGUUCAUUUAGUUUUUUCAUCAGCUAAGCUUGAUGCAGAGUGGGCAGCAUUGGUUUACUUGUUAUUGCAUCUUCAUUAUUAUCCAGUUAGUUCAGUUGGUAAGAGUGUCAGUCCAUAGUUCGAGCCUCAGCUGGACCAAAAAAACUCAGGAGAAGGUGAUGCCUUUGUAAUUACAUCUUCAAAUGGUUAGACCUUCAAGUGUUCUCGGAUAGGAACUUUAAACCAUAGGCCCUAUCUCCCAACCCUUCCUUAUAACCUGCAGUAAAAUGUCCAUUUUUCCAUUCCACAUAAAACAACCUGUUGAAUUAUUCAUAUAAGAGUAGGGGUUUUCCUCAGUUCAACAGCCUAUCCCAAUUUGGAGGCAUAAUACUAAUCUACUAACAACUGACUCAUGAUUUAAGCUGCACGGCUGCUAAUUGUGCCUUAAUAUGCAGCUCGUAAAGUCCUCCACUGGUCAUAAAUGUAAAGUGCAUUGAGACAUUGUGAAAUGCUCUUUAUAAGAACCUCCCAUUUUUAUUAUUGUCUGGACAAGGGUGCACACCAUAUAUCUGUGAAAUAAUUACUAGUCAUGCAUGUACGUUUAACAGUAUUUUUCUUUUAGUUAUCAACUAUUAAUAGUUUUAAACUAGCUAAAUGUUUAGCUUUUGUUCCCAAUUUUGUGCUCCACUAAUAUCCACUAUUGUAUAAAAUAAAAGCACCAAAAUAUCAGCAAUUAGACAGACAUGUUUGGUUUUGUUUCACAGAUUUAUGGCGUGCACUCUAUAUGACCAAAGUCAAAUAAUUUCUGUUGAUUGGGAGGGUUCUUGGGAAAAUCAAGGUAAAAUUUUAGUUUUCCUCCGGUUUUUCUACCUUAUUCGUUUCCUGUUGAAGCUAUGAUGAAAACAAAUUACUAUAUGUUA